This is an RNA transcript of Vitis vinifera (wine grape), 8429 nucleotides long. RefSeq lists it as uncharacterized. Lineage: Eukaryota; Viridiplantae; Streptophyta; Magnoliopsida; Vitales; Vitaceae. The record is from RefSeq and is a predicted model, not a curated record. The transcript is spliced from 10 exons.
UCAUUCAAUUUCCAUUUUGCUUUAAUUAAAAAGUAGUCUGCUCCUUUCCACACCUAAUUGCAAUACCACUCUCUUCAUUGUUGCUGUUGCUUAAUCCUUUUGUCUUUCCCCAUCUCUUCGACUCACUACCUCUUUCCAUUUUAUCAUCCAUUCCUAACUUAGCUCUCAUUCACCUCUGAUUCCUUCAGCGUCUCUCUGUUUGGAACCCAAACUCUGCUCCUUUCAUUUCCUCGGGCCUCUUCUUAAUUUCCUCUUAUUUUCUCACUUCCCAUCUGUUUUCCAACAUAACCAAAUUCCCAAAAAAAAAAAAAACCACCAUCUGUCUUCAUAGCUUGGUAAUCUACUCUUCACAUUCGGUCUCACAUCAGGAUCUGCUUGCAAAACACCAACUUCCUUUGUUCUCGUUUUGUCACACAUUUUUUCUACCUUCACUCAUAUUCGCUACUGAUUCUGCUUUUCAUUCUGUUGGUGAGCGUCUCUCUGCUUGGAACAAAUACUCUGCUCCUUCCAUUUCUUCCACUCUCUUAUUUUAGUUUCCUUUUGCUCCUGCUUUCAUUUGUUUCUGUUUUUUUUCAUCAUUUCCCUUCUGUUUUCCCAACAAAACCACACACACACCAAAAAAAAAAAAGAAAAAAAAUCCAACUGAGACAAAAUGACAGAGAUCAUUAUUGCCGUUGCUGCAAAAGUUUCAGAGUACUUGGUUGCUCCAAUUGGACGCCAGCUUAGUUAUCUGUUUUGCUACGGCGGCCACAUGGAUGAUCUCAACAAGAAGGUUCAGGAGUUGGGGCUUGCAAAGGAUGACCUUCAGAUUACUGUUGAUGAAGCUAUUAGAAGAGGGGAUGAAAUCAGACCUAUUGUUCAAGACUGGCUGACUCGGGCAGACAAGAAUACAGGGGAGGCAAAGAAAUUCAUGGAAGAUGAAAAGAAAAGAACCAAGAGCUGUUUCAAUGGGUGGUGUCCUAAUCUCAAGUCACGGUACCUGCUAAGCAGGGAAGCAUACGAGAAGGCGCAGGUUAUUGAUAAAGUUCAAGAAGACCGCAAAUUCCCCGAUGGUGUAGCAUAUUGUGUCCCUCUACGGAAUGUAACCUUUAAAAAUUAUGAACCUUUUGAAUCAAGAGCCUCGACUGUGAACAAAGUUAUGGAUGCAUUAAGAGCUGAUGAGAUCAACAAGAUUGGGGUAUGGGGCAUGGGCGGUGUGGGCAAAACCACGCUGGUCAAACAAGUGUCUCAACUAGCUGAAGAUGAGAAGCUGUUCAUCACACGAGUCUACGUAGAUGUAUCCUGGACUCGAGAUUCGGAAAAACUUCAAGAUGGAAUUGCUAAAAUUCAACAAAAAAUUGCAGACAUGUUAGGCUUGGAAUUUAAGGGGAAGGAUGAAUCCACAAGAGCAGCUGAACUGAAGCAGAGACUGCAGAAAGAGAAGAUCCUUAUCAUCUUAGAUGACAUUUGGAAGGAAGUUAGUUUGGAGGAAGUUGGAAUUCCUUCUAAAGAUGACCAGAAAGGAUGCAAAAUAGUGAUGGCUUCUAGAAAUGAAGACCUAUUACGCAAAGACAUGGGCGCAAAAGAAUGUUUUCCACUUCAACAUUUACCAGAAAAAGAAGCUUGGAAUUUAUUUAAGAAGACAGCAGGUGAUUCUGUGGAGGGGGAUAAACUGCAACACAUAGCAAUUGAGGUGGUUAACGAAUGUGGGGGUCUACCAAUUGCAAUUGUAACAAUUGCAAAUGCAUUAAAAGGUGAAUGUGUGGCCAUAUGGGAGAAUGCUUUGGACGAACUGAGGAGUGCUGCACCGACAAACAUCAGCGGAGUGGAUGACAAGGUAUACGGAUGUCUGAAGUGGAGCUACGACCAUUUGAAAGGUGAUGAAGUCAAGUCAUUGUUCUUACUUUGUGGUUGGUUGAGCUAUGGCGAUAUUUCAAUGCAUCAAUUGUUACAGUAUGCGAUGGGUUUGGAUUUGUUUGACCACAUCAACUCAUUGGAGAAAGCAAGAAAUAAACUAGUUACAUUGGUGAGAACCCUCAAAGCCUCAAGCUUGUUACUCGACGGUGAAGAUCAUAGAAACGGUAUUGGAGGAGCCUCAAGGUUGCUUUUCAUGGAUGCUGAUAACAAGUCUGUCAGGAUGCAUGAUGUUGUUCGUGACGUUGCCAGAAAUAUUGCAUCCAAGGAUCCUCAUCGAUUUGUAGUUAGAGAACAUGAUGAAGAAUGGUCAAAGACUGAUGGAUCCAAAUACAUCUCUUUAAAUUGCGAAGAUGUGCAUGAGCUUCCUCACAGGUUGGUAUGUCCAGAACUUCAAUUUUUACUAUUGCAGAACAUCAGUCCUACCUUGAAUAUCCCACACACAUUUUUUGAAGGGAUGAACCUACUCAAAGUUUUAGACUUGUCUGAAAUGCAUUUCACAACACUACCUUCAACGCUUCAUUCCCUUCCAAAUCUUCGAACAUUACGUCUAGACAGGUGCAAGUUGGGAGACAUAGCUCUAAUUGGAGAGCUAAAGAAACUACAAGUUCUUAGCAUGGUGGGUUCCGAUAUUCAACAAUUGCCUAGUGAAAUGGGGCAGUUGACGAAUCUAAGGUUGUUGGAUUUGAACGAUUGUUGGGAGCUUGAUGUAAUUCCACGAAAUAUCUUAUCAAGCCUGUCUCGAUUAGAAUGUUUGUGCAUGAAACGGAGCUUUACUCAAUGGGCAGCUGAAGGAGUUAGUGAUGGAGAAAGCAAUGCUUGUUUAUCGGAGCUGAAUCAUUUGCGCCAUUUGACAACUAUAGAGAUACAAGUGCCAGCUGUCGAGUUGCUACCAAAAGAAGACAUGUUCUUUGAGAACUUGACAAGAUAUGCAAUAUUUGAUGGCAGUUUUUAUUCAUGGGAAAGAAAGUAUAAAACAUCAAAACAAUUAAAGCUGAGACAGGUUGAUUUACUUUUAAGGGAUGGAAUUGGAAAGUUGUUGAAGAAAACUGAAGACCUAGAGUUGAGUAAUUUGGAAGAAGUAUGUCGUGGCCCAAUUCCCCCAAGGUCUUUGGAUAACUUAAAAACUUUACAUGUGGAGGAAUGUCAUGGAUUGAAAUUUCUCUUCUUACUUUCCAGAGGCCUUUCCCAACUGGAAGAAAUGACAAUAAAACAUUGCAAUGCCAUGCAACAAAUAAUCACAUGGGAAGGGGAGUUCGAAAUAAAAGAAGUUGAUCAUGUUGGGACCGACUUGCAACUGCUCCCUAAAUUACAAUUUUUGAAACUUAGGGAUCUACCAGAGCUCAUGAAUUUUGACUACUUCGGCUCUAAUUUGGAAACGGCAUCGCAAGGAAUGUGUUCCCAAGGCAAUCCUGAUAUCCACAUGCCAUUUUUCAGUUAUCAGGUUUCAUUCCCUAAUUUGGAGAAAUUGAUACUUCAUGAUCUUCCCAAAUUGAGGGAGAUAUGGCAUCACCAACUUCCACUUGGGUCCUUCAACAAUUUGAAAAUCUUAAAAGUUCAGAAUUGUCAAGGCCUAUUCAAUCUUAUUCCAUCUCAUUUGAUACAGAGAUUCGACAAUUUGAAAGAAUUAGAGGUGAAUAAUUGUGAAGUCCUAAAACAUGUGUUUGAUCUUCAAGGACUUGAUAGAAAUAUUAGGAUUCUCCCAAGGUUAGAAUUCUUAAAGUUAAAUGUACUACCUAAGUUGAGGCGUGUCGUAUGCAAUGAGGAUGAGGACAAAAAUGAUAGCGUGAGGUGUCUUUUCUCUUCUUCCACGACUUUUCAGAACCUUAAAUUCCUAUCCAUCAAAUAUUGUGGGUACAAAGUUGAAGAUGAAGAAGAUAUCAGUACUCCUAAGGAAGAUGUAGUGCUCUUUGAUGGAAAGGUUUCAUUCCCUAAUUUGGAGAAGUUGAUACUUCAUUAUCUUCCCAAAUUGAGGGAGAUAUGGCAUCACCAACAUCCACCUGAGUCCUUUUACAAUUUGCAAAUCCUAGAAGUAUACAAUUGUCCAAGCCUACUCAAUCUUAUUCCAUCUCAUUUGAUACAGAGAUUCGACAAUUUGAAAAAAUUAGAGGUGGAUAAUUGUGAAGUCCUAAAACAUGUGUUUGAUCUUCAAGGACUUGAUGGAAAUAUUAGGAUUCUCCCAAGGUUAGAAUCCUUAAAGUUAAAUGAACUACCUAAGUUGAGGCGUGUCGUAUGCAAUGAGGAUGAGGACAAAAAUGAUAGCGUGAGGUGUCUUUUCUUUUCUUCCACGGCUUUUCAGAACCUUAAAUUCCUAUACAUCAAAUAUUGUGGGUACAAAGUUGAAGAUGAGGAACAUAUCAGUACUCCUAAGGAAGAUGUAGUGCUCUUUGAUGGAAAGGUUUCAUUCCCUAAUUUGGAGAAGUUGAUACUUCAUGAUCUUCCCAAAUUGAGGGAGAUAUGGCAUCACCAACUUCCACUCGUGUCCUUCCACAAUUUGCAAAUCCUAAAAGUAUACAAUUGUCCAGGCCUACUCAAUCUUAUUCCAUCUCAUUUGAUACAGAGUUUGGACAAUUUGAAAGAGAUGGUCGUGGAUAACUGUGAAGUCCUAAAACAUGUGUUUGAUUUUCAAGGACUUGAUGGAAAUAUUAGGAUUCUCCCAAGGUUAGAAUCAUUACGGUUAGAGGCACUACCUAAGUUGAGGCGUGUUGUAUGCAAUGAGGAUGAUGACAAGAAUGAUAGCGUGAGGUGUCGUUUCUCUUCUUCCACGGCUUUUCACAACCUUAAAUUCCUAUCCAUCACAAAUUGUGGGAACCAAGUUGAAGAUGAGGGACAUAUCAAUACUCCUAUGGAAGAUGUAGUGCUCUUCGAUGGAAAGGUUUCAUUCUCUCCUAAUUUGGAGGAGUUGGUUUUAGAAAGACUUUCCAAGUUGAAGGAGAUGGAUAUUGGGAUCUUCUUAAAGUUAAAAAUUCUGAAGUUAGAGAAACUACCCAGGCUAAGACUUACGGUUGCUUCCAUGUUCAAGAAUUUUCACAAUCUCCAAAAGCUACAUAUCAUUGAUUGUGGGAUGGAAGACGGGGAAGAUGUCAAUACUCCUAGUAAUGAUGUAGUGUUCUCCAAUGAAAAGGUUUCAUUCUCUCCUAAUUUAGAGGAGUUGGUUCUAAAAAACCUUCCCAAUUUGAUAGAGAUGGAUGUUGGGAUCCUCCCCGAGUUAAAAAUCUUGAAGUUAGAGGAACUACAUGGAUGUCUUUUGUCUAAGGUUUCACUUUCUCCUAAUUUGGAGGAGAUAGUUCUAAAAAGUCUUCCAAAAUUGGAGGAGAUAGAUUUUGGGAUCCUCCCAAAGUUAAAAUUCCUAAAGGUUGAGAAACUACCUCAAUUAAUUUUGUCUUCUUCAAUGUUCAAGAAUUUUCACAAUAUCAAAGAGUUGCGUAUCAUUGAUUGUGGGAUGAAAGACAUGAGAGGUGUCAAUACUUCUACUAAUGAUGAAGUGCUCUUCAAUGAAAAGGCUUCAUUCCUUGAAUCAAGAGCCUCCACUCUGAACGAUAUUAUGGAUGCCUUAAGAGACCACAAUAUCAACUUGAUUGGAGUAUGGGGCAUGGCCGGUGUGGGCAAAACAACACUGCUGAAACAAGUGGCUCAACAAGCUAAGCAACAACGGUUGUUCACCAGACAAGCCUAUGUGGAUUUAUCCUCCAUUUCAGGCUUGGAAACACUUCGACAAAAAAUUGCAGAAGCGUUGGGCCUACCACCUUGGAAGCGCAAUGCGGAUGAACUGAAGCAGUUACUGAAGGAAGAGAAGAUCCUUAUUAUCUUAGAUGAUAUUUGGACGGAAGUUGAUUUGGAGCAAGUCGGAAUUCCUUCUAAAGAUGAUAUUUGGACGCAAUGCAAAAUAGUGUUGGCUUCGAGAGAUAGAGACCUAUUAUGCAAAGGCUUGGGCGCACAAAUUUGUUUUCCAGUGGAAUAUUUACCACUAGAAGAAGCUUGGAGUUUGUUUAAGAAGACAGCAGGUGAUUCCAUGGAGGAGAAUCUUGAACUGCGACGCAUAGCCAUUCAAGUAGUUGAAGAAUGUGAGGGUCUACCAAUUGCAAUUGUAAUAAUUGCCGAGGCAUUAAAAGAUGAGACCAUGGUUGUAUGGAAGAAUGCCUUGGAACAACUUAGGAGUUGUGCACCAACAAACAUUAGAGCAGUGGAUAAGAAGGUUUACUCAUGUCUGGAGUGGAGCUACACCCAUUUGAAGGGUGAUGACGUUAAGUCAUUGUUCUUACUUUGUGGGAUGCUGGACUAUGGUGAUAUUUCAUUGGAUCUCUUGUUACGAUAUGGUAUGGGUCUGGAUUUGUUUGAUCGCAUCGACUCAUUGGAGCAAGCAAGAAAUAGGCUACUUGCAUUGGUGGAUUUCCUCAAAGCCUCAGGCUUGUUACUUGACAGUCAUGAAGAUAGAAACAAGUUUGAUGAAGAAAGAGCUUCAAGUUCGCUUUUCAUGGAUGCUGAUAACAAGUUUGUGAGGAUGCAUAGUGUUGUUCGUGAAGUUGCCAGAGCAAUUGCAUCCAAGGAUCCUCAUCCAUUUGUAGUCAGAGAAGAUGUUGGAUUGGAAGAAUGGUCAGAGACUGAUGAAUCCAAAAGGUGCGCUUUCAUCUCUUUGCAUUGCAAAGCUGUGCAUGAGCUUCCUCAAGGGUUGGUAUGUCCGGACCUUCAAUUUUUCCAAUUGCAUAACAACAAUCCUUCCUUGAAUAUCCCGAACACAUUUUUCAAAGGGAUGAAAAAACUCGAAGUUUUAGAUUUGCCCAAAACGCAUUUUACAACGCUACCUUCAUCACUUGAUUCCCUUACAAAUCUCCAAACAUUGCGUCUAGAUGGGUGCAAGUUGGAAGACAUUGCUCUAAUUGGAAAGCUAACAAAACUAGAAGUUCUUAGCUUGAUGGGUUCUACAAUCCAACAAUUGCCUAAUGAAAUGUCGCGAUUGACCAAUCUAAGGCUGUUGGAUUUGAAUGAUUGUGAGAAGCUUGAAGUAAUUCCACGAAAUAUCUUAUCAAGUUUGUCUCAAUUAGAAUGUUUGUACAUGAAAUCUAGCUUUACUCAAUGGGUAACUGAAGGUGAAAGCAAUGCUUGCUUAUCCGAGCUAAAUCAUUUGUCUCAUUUGACAACUUUAGAGAUAUAUAUACCAGAUGCCAAGUUGCUCCCAAAAGACAUUCUAUUUGAGAACUUGACAAGAUAUGCGAUAUCUAUAGGUACUCGGUGGAGGUUGAGAACCAAAAGAGCAUUGAACCUCGAGAAAGUCAAUAGAAGCUUACAUUUGGGGGAUGGAAUGAGCAAGUUGUUGGAGAGAAGUGAAGAACUAAAGUUCAUGAAAUUAAGUGGUACUAAAUAUGUUCUUCACCCAUCAGAUAGGGAGAGUUUCCUUGAACUAAAGCAUCUCGAAGUUGGUUAUAGUCCUGAGAUUCAAUACAUCAUGGAUUCAAAGAAUCAAUGGUUUCUGCAACAUGGUGCCUUUCCUCUAUUGGAGUCAUUGAUUCUUAGGUCUCUGAAAAAUUUGGAAGAAGUAUGGCAUGGCCCAAUUCCAAUAGGGUCUUUUGGUAACUUAAAAACUCUAAAAGUGCUUUUUUGUCCUAAAUUGAAAUUUCUCCUUUUGCUCUCCACGGCUAGAGGCCUUUCCCAACUUGAAGAAAUGACAAUAGAAUACUGCAAAGCCAUGCAACAAAUAAUCGCAUAUGAAAGGGAGUCAGAAAUAAAAGAAGAUGGACAUGCUGGGACCAACUUGCAACUAUUCCCAAAAUUGCGAUCCUUGAUACUCAAGGGACUACCACAGCUCAUCAACUUCAGUUCCGAGUUAGAAACAACAUCUUCCACAUCUUUGAGUACAAAUGCAAGGUCGGAAAACUCAUUUUUCAGUCAUAAGGUUUCAUUCCCUAAGAUAGAGAAGUUGAUACUCUAUGAUGUGCCCAAGUUGAAUCUUUCUUCAAUCUACGGAUCUUAAGGGUGUAGGAAUGUCCAUGUCUACUCAAUCUUGUCCCAGCUCUUUUGAUACACAACUUCCAGAAUUUUAAAAAGAUAGAUGAGCAAGAUUGUGAACUCCUAGAGCAUGUGAUUGUUCUUCAAGAAAUUGAUGGAAAUGUUGAGAUCCUCUCAAAGUUAGAAACCUUGAAAUUGAAGAACUUGCCUAGGCUAAGAUGGAUUGAAGAUGGGAAUGAUAGGAUGAAACAUAUUUCCUCUCUUAUGACACUCAUGAAUAUUCAAAACCUUCAAGAACUACAUAUCAUUGAUUGUAGUAUGGAAGACCUGCGGAAGAUGCAAUACUCUUUUGUGAGAAGGUACAUUGGAUUUCCUUUAUUUUCUGCUCUAUUUGAGAUGAAGUACAAAUGCAGCCUUUGAAAGAGAAAUUAUUAAUGAUGUUUGAGAAAUUGUCAAUGAUGUUUCCUUUAAUCAUUUCCUUCAUUUGAUAGAAUUUAUUUAUUCAAGCACAUGUUAAAUUUUCAUAUGCAUUUUGUUUUGUUCAUUGUUAUAUCCCUAAUAAAAUUGUUUGUUAAGUGUGUGGUCUUGCACAA